Molecule: non-coding RNA, 912 nt
Organism: Schizosaccharomyces pombe (fission yeast)
Lineage: Eukaryota; Fungi; Ascomycota; Schizosaccharomycetes; Schizosaccharomycetales; Schizosaccharomycetaceae
Source: the annotation of a GenBank genome assembly
GCUCUAUAAAUCAAAAUGAACAUUGCCAUGAGAUGUUCCAAAUGAUAAAACUAAGGCUUCGCGUAAGAAGGUGCUUCUUCUGACAAUUUUCUUAUUUUUUAAGAUACUAUCCAAAAUCACCGAUUUCAAACAUUUUCGCGAAAAACCAGCUAUCCGGAAUUACCAAAGCAUUAAAUCUUCAAUAAUUAAACAUGGUAAUCACACCAAACAGCGCAUUUUCAAACUCAUCUGAUUACCGCAUGUGUAAGAAUCUAUAUUCUUUGCCCACAACUUUACCAAAUAACCGUAUCUCAAACCUAUGAAUCUUCAUUAAAUUGCACGGGAAAAUCUAUACUCCUACUCCUAGUGUUUUAACGAAUGCUUUUUUAUUGCUAAAAGAAUAGGCCAUUUGCAACUUUUGAGAGAGUUUUUAAACAUGUAUCUCAACUGCGUUCUAAAUGUCCAACAUUUUUCGAGAAUGUUAAGAAACCUAGUUUUCUAAAAUAUUCCUUCUAACCUUUCAUUUUCUUCAAAAUUCAUUUACACCUGUCGCAAUAUAAAAAGGGAAAAAAUUGACAUACGUUUUAGGCGAUGAUCGCUUAUUUCCAACAUCGGUUUAAUAAUUUGAGUGUCAAAAUCAUAAUUAUAAAAAUUGAUGUCGAUAAAUUAGCUUCCUUUAUGAGUUCAAACUAAUUUCUUUAUGCUAUUACUACUAAAGCUAUGCCAAUGGUACUCAGGAUUAAAGGUGGCCACGUGGUCAGUCUUUAUCACUAUUGAUCUCGGUUCUUUAACAAACCUACUUGUCCAUUUAGCACCCUGUAGUUGUUACCAAUCAGCUAUCUAAUCUCGGCCGUCUCUAGAUCCGUUUGGAUAGACGCUAUUAUUUAUUUUACCUAGCCCCAACUUUUUCGGUAUCAGGCGAAGAAGAAGAAA